Molecule: long non-coding RNA, 582 nt
Filed under: Gossypium raimondii (Peruvian cotton)
Lineage: Eukaryota; Viridiplantae; Streptophyta; Magnoliopsida; Malvales; Malvaceae
Description: long non-coding RNA (GRAI_LNC003842)
Source: RNAcentral
ACCGGCCGAUGACCGACCUAGGCCGGACUAGCUGGGUGGGAGAGAACUUUUUUGAGGGUUUUUUUUGUUUUUUUAAAACAGAAUGAAAAUGCGGCCGAUGACCGACCUAGGCCGAACUAGCUGGGGGGAAGAGAACUUUUUUGAGGGUUUUUUUUGUUUUUUUAAAACAGAAUGAAAAUGAAUUUUUUUAACUAAAUUUUGGCUUAUAUAACCUACUGAAAACGGCACCGUUUGGACUUGGACCGACCCGAAUCCGACCCAACCCGGCCUGGGAUCCGCGUGUUUUCAAGCGGAGAGGUAAAUUGCGCUUUAGCCCCUCCGCCUUUUAAUGUUCUUACAAUUGGGUUUUUUUUUAAAUUUGCCCCUUUAAUUUGUUUUCAAUUUCAAUUUGGUCCAACUUGCAACGGCGCCGUUUUAGAGGAGAAGGGAAAAAUUUCCUUUCAGUCCCUCUAUGUAAUUCGCACGCUCAAUUUAGUCCUUGUGACUUCACUUAUUUGCAGAUUUGUCCCCUAGAUUUUCAUUUGCAGUUCAAUUUAGUCUUUUUUUAUUUUUUUAUUUUUCUUAAAAUUAAUUAAUUUCAAU